Molecule: long non-coding RNA, 21400 nt
Filed under: Eutrema salsugineum
Lineage: Eukaryota; Viridiplantae; Streptophyta; Magnoliopsida; Brassicales; Brassicaceae
Description: long non-coding RNA (ESAL_LNC000040)
Source: RNAcentral
AAUAUACCAGAGUUCAUCAACACACAAAACAUCAGUGUUCUUCUUCUCCGAGGGAAUAAUUUAACAGGCAGCAUUCCCCACCAGUUGUGUGGCCUAAGAAACAUCCAACUUCUGGAUCUUGCCAACAACAGAUUGAAUGGAUCCAUACCUUCAUGUCUCAGCAAUACAUCAUUUGUUUUUGGGAAAGAAUGUACAUCAUAUGAUUAUGAUUUCGGCAUUUCUUUCCCUUCAGAUGUCUUCAGCGGUUUUUAUCUGCAACAAGACUUGUCUUCCACAAAAAACGUCAAAUCUCUGCUCAUGCUUGAUCCGUUUAGUAUGGACUACAAGGCAAUCACACAGACGAAAAUUUCUUUUGCAACAAAACACCGAUACGAUGCCUACAUGGGUGGAAAUCUCAAAUUACUGUAUGGAUUGGAUCUCUCAGAAAACGAGCUGAGCGGUGAGAUUCCGGUUGAGUUUGGAGAUCUUCUGGAACUAAGAGCUUUCAAUCUUUCUCACAACAAGUUAUCAGGAGUGAUACCAGAAACCUUUUCAGGUAUGAAGAAUGUGGAAAGUCUUGAUCUUUCUUUCAACAGAUUACAUGGCCGGAUCCCAACACAACUAACAGAGCUGAGCAGCCUUUUGGUCUUCAAGGUCUCGUACAACAACUUAUCAGGAGUCAUUCCACAGGGAAAACAGUUUAACACCUUCGAUACACAAAGCUUCGAAGGUAAUCAACUUCUCUGUGGACAACCAACAAGCAGAAGCUGUAACAUUGAUAAUACCUUUCAAGAACCAGACGAUGAAGUGGAAGCUGAUGAAUCCGCAAUCGACAUGGAAUCUUUCUACUGGAGUUUCGCUGCAGCGUAUGUGACAAUACUUGAUGGAAUAUUCGCAUUGCUCUCAUUUGAUUCUCUUUGGAGAAGAUUGUGGUUCUACAUCGUUGAUGCUUUCAUCUACAAGGUGAGGAAUCAGUUGUGGUAAAAUCAGCAUCGUUGAUGAUUUCAUCUACCAUAGAUGCAGUCUUUAUGGUAUCUUUCCCCAAGAGUUUUGCUAUAGCUUAUGUGACACCAUAGUGCUGGGAAUACUCAGCUUCACUCCCUUUUGAUUCUCUUUGGAGCAGAGCUUGGUUUAGUGUUGUUAAGGCUUUUAUCCAUAAGAUGAAAGCUUUCUUAUCCUAAAUUACAGUGGUUAAGAGUGUAAGCUGGUCUCUUGAAAGUAUAUAAUCAUUUGUUGUGACAAUUCCGUUCUGAUAUACUUGUAAUUUGUUCUUCAGCUCGACGAUCAGUACUUCCUGAUUCUUAAUCGCUUUUUUUUUUUAACUCUGUUACAGAAUAUCCAUUAUUGGUCAUUAACCAAUAAAUCCUAUUUGGCUACCUACUUUUUUAACCCUUGAAUUAUUAUUACGUGGUAUAUAAGCUUGAGGGAAAAAAAUUGCUUUUAAACUUGGCUUUAAACAAGCUACCAAUUUGUGAAAAAGGCACGUUUACUAUGUAACAAAACCUUACCAACCGUGUCUCGUAGAACCCAUGCAACUCCUCCCUACUUCUUUUGUUUGGAGAAGGAAAAUCCGAUGUUGCAUUUUAACCAGUUCAUUGGAGAAAAUGUACUUUUUUCCUUGGCUUUGCUUCUCGUUUAAUUUAGGCGUUUUGGGUUAUUGUAAGAUUCUAUAACAUUCGAUAAAAUCUAGAUGACCAAAAAAAAAAAAGCUCGAGGGAAAAAAUAUAUAUUCCAAUAUUUUCCAUAUUAUCAUCCUUUAACUCUAUUGCUAAGCAAUUUCCUGUGACUUAUGGUCGAAGUAAAAGAUGCUGACCGCACAAUUUCUACGGAGACCUUGACUUAAAAAAUGAUGCCAAACGAAUCUAAGCUUAUCAUACGACUCAAAGUAAACGCCAGACCACAGUGGUCACUCAUGCCCCGACGACUGGGACCUGAAUUGACUUUGUAAGUGUGCAAUUAUUUCCUUGAAUUUGGUGUAUUCCUCUGGAAAUUUAAAGAACCCUUGUAAAUGUGGACAAGUCACUUUGGAUUAUCAAUCAUUUGCUUUUUUUUUUCCGGUUUAUUUGCAAUGGAAGGGAAGGUGUUCUUGGGAAAAUACUUGAUAUGACUGAUGUUACUGUUGGGGCAGCUACAUGGAUACCAAAGCUGUGUUGAGAAAGAAAGGAAUGCUUUGCUGCAGCUCAAGAAUUACUUUGUCUCAAUUACUCGAGAAGUUUUCGUAGACGAUGUUCUCCCUACUUGGACUAAUGACACAAAGAGCAAUUGCUGCGGCUGGGAUGGCCUUAGGUGCAAUCUUACAAGCGGACGGGUGACCGAGAUUGCCCUUUCUGGCACCUAUCCCUUUCUGACAAUCUUAAAAGAGAAUUCUCUCCUUAAUCUUUCGUUGCUACAUCCUUUUGAAGAUGUUCGAAGUCUGAACUUCUCCGGGCACCUUCUCAGUGGCUUGUUUGAUGACGUUGAAGGUAUACCAGGCUUUCCCUAGUAGUUAGCUUUUAAUAUUCUGUUUUUCAUUGGAACUUUCAUGUUUUCUCUCCUUUAGGGAUCUACUUCUCUGAAGAACCUAUAUGGACUAGAUCUUUGUUCAUUGUUUCUAGUUCUUGAAAGUUAUUGUUUCUCGUUGCAGGUUGUAAAAGCUUGAGGAGAUUAAGAAACCUGGAGAUUCUGGAUCUCUCUUAUAAUGAAUUCAACAACAGUAUCUUUCCCUUUCUUAACGCUGCUACAUCACUCACAACUCUUUUUCUUAGGGGCAACAACAUGGUUGACCCUUUUCCUGUUAAAGGUAUGUUUUACCAUUUGUAUAUAUAUAGCAUGUCCUAAUUCUUUUAGGGACGAUGUAUCAUUCUUAUAUUUGUUGGACUCCAUUUCAGAACUCAAAGAUUUGACAAACUUGGAACUGCUGGACCUGAGUGAAAACAGAUACAACGGCUCCAUACUAGUACGAGGUAGUCCAUAAAUGCUUGCUUUCUUACAACAUUUGUUGGAUUGGUUUGCCUCGUCCUUGAGAUGAACAUAUCCAUAUUUUGUUACCUUUGUCUGUGGCAGAGAUAACUUCGCUCAGAAAGCUGAAAGCUCUGGAUCUAAGUGGUAAUGAAUUUUCGGGUUCAAUGGAUUUGCAAGGCAAGUUUGCUAAAAUAUUAUUUCGUUAUGGAAGUCGUGUCUUUGUAUUGAUACAUAGAGCUCUGUUAUAUAUUCAGAGUGAGCUGUACAAGUAAGGUAAUAUAAUAUACAAUAGUAAUGAAGGCAUAAUCAGAGGGAUUCUAACGUAAACACUAACGUAUACUUUCUAUGAAUACUAUAUUUCCUAUACACCCCUCAAGACGGACGUGGAGAUGCAAGUCCGAUCUUGACUGUAAGUAACUCAAACCGAGCUCUUGAUAACGCUUUUGUGAGUGCAUCAGCCAACUGAUCCUGCAAAGAAACAUGAGAGACCCGAAGCUGACCUGACUGAAUAUAGUUUCGAACGAAAUGGUAAUCCAAGGCCAAAUGCUUCAUACGUGAGUGAAAGACAGGAUUUGCGGCUAAGUACGUCGCACCAAUAUUUUCACAAUAAAUCACCGGAGACGUAUUGUUGUUAACCCCAAGCUCAGAUAAUAACGAUUGGAUCCAGAUAACUUCCGCUGUGGUGGAAGCAAGUGAUCGGUAUUCCGCCUCUGUGGAUGAACGAGCUACACCAGUUUGCUUCUUUGAUGACCAUGCGAUGGGAUGACGUCCGAGAUAAACAAUGUAUGCACCAGUGGAUGUGUAAUCAUCUUUGUUUCCAGUCCAGUCUGCGUCGGUGAAAGCAUGUAGAGCUGUAGUGUUCUUGGCAUGAAGGAAAAUUCCCUUCGUCGUUGUGCCCGCAAGAUAGCGAAGGAUUCUUUUAACGGCGUUCCAGUGCUCUGUGGUUGGUUUAUGCAUGUAUUGAGAGAGCUUGUUUACAGGAAACGAGAUAUCAGGGCGUGUAAGCGAGAGGUAUUGUAAGCUCCCAACAACCAUGCGAUAUUCUGUUGGAUCCUCCAAAGGUGUACCCGAAGUCAGUGUGAGAGUCAAGUUCGGACACAUUGGUGUUGUCACCGGUUUGCAGUUUUCCAUCUUUGUCCGGUGUAACAAAUCUGCAAUAAAACGAGUUUGUGUCAGAUGCAUCCCGGUUUCAUUGCGAUGAACUUCAAUACCAAGAAAGAAAGAGAGAUCUUCAAGGUCCUUUAGUGAAAACCAUUUUGACAAUGAUGCAAUAAAACGAUUUGUAUAUGAACUAUUAUUGCCUGUGAUAACUAAAUCAUCAACAUAAACAAGCAUAUAAAUUAAAACUCCCUGUUUGUUGUAGAUAAAUAGUGAUGCAUCGGCCAAAGAAUUUGAGAAGCCAGACUGUAAGAGAAAGCUACGCAGCUCAUUGUACCAAGCUCGCGGGGCUUGUUUUAAACUAUAAAUAGCCUUUCGUAAGCGACAGACAGCGAGUGGAUUAUCUUUGUCGACAAAACCUGGAGGUUGCAUCAUGUAGACUUUAUCAGAAAAAGUCCCUUGAAGGAAUGCAUUGUUAACAUCAAGUUGACGAAUAGGCCAAUUUUGUGUGACAGCAACACUAAGAACGGUCCUUAUUGUGGCUGGUUUAACAACAGGACUAAACGUGUCAUGAUAAUCUAUCCCUGGCCUUUGCGUGAAUCCUCUUGCAACCAGACGAGCCUUAUAACGAGCAAUUGUUCCAUCGGGAUUUCGUUUAAUGGUGAAGAUCCACUUGCAACCUACAACAUUAAAACGAGAGUCAGUAGAUAAAUUUUCAAGAUCCCAAGUUCUAUGGCCGAUUUGAGCAUUAUACUCCUCACUCAUGGCUUUUUGCCAAUGAGGACUCUUAAGUGCUUGUGCCACCGAGGUUGGAGGUUUCUCCAUUGUUUGUGUGACGGAAGUGUGAAGAUUUAACUUCUGCACUGGUUUCCUUUGUCUCGUGCUUUGCCGCACAGGAGGUGGAAGAACAGGUGUAGGAGCUGUGACGGUGAUGACAGGUGAAACGGCCUGAGAUGAAAGUUGAUAAGCCGUUGGCUGAGACUGGUCUGUUGAAGCUUCCGCGUUCUUCUCAGGUGAAGUCUGUAAAGACUCCUCUGUCGGAGCUGUUGUGUGAGCUGAUGAUGACGGAGUUUGCGCAAUUGUUGGUGACGAGUUAACUGGUGUCGUUGUUGUUGUAACAGGGGAUACAUUUUCCUGAGUUGGUACCUGUACUGAAACGGAAGGAGAGAAAACUGGAACAACAGAAACAGACGGUUGGCUAACAUCGUUAGAUUCAUUAGACUCUUGCAAUUCUAAGUUGGAUGAAAGUGCAAAAGGAAAAACCGAUUCAUGAAACACUACAUGUCUAGAUGUGUAAAUCCUUGAUGUAGUACGAUCUAAACAAAAAUAUGCACUUUGCGUGUUGGAAUACCCUAUGAAAACACAUGGAGUUGAUCUUGCGUCUAAUUUAUUUGAUGCAUACGGCCUAAGCCACGGAAAACACAAGCAUCCAAAUAUUUUUAAUUUUGAAAGUUUGGACUAUAUCCAUGAAGACGCUGAAAAGGAUUUCCAUAAUUAAGAACUUGUGAUGGCAUUCUAUUGAUUAAAUAAACUGCCGUUGCAAACGCAUACGUCCAGAAUGACCUAGGCAUAGAUGCAUGAGAAAGCAGAGCAAGCCCUGUUUCUACAAUAUGUCGGUGACGACGUUCUGCAAUGCCAUUAUGCUCAGGCGUAUGCGGUGGACUUGUCAUGUGAGAAAUACCAUUACGUGAAAGAAAUUCUCGUAAACCAAUGUAUUCACCCCCAUUAUCCGUAUAUAAAGUUCUAAGCUUGCUUUGAAAUCGAUUUUAAACCAAUACUUUGAACCGGGUAAAUAUCUCAAAGACCUGAGAUUUUAAUUUCAAUGGAUAAAACCAAGUGUAUCUAAUGUAAUGAUCUACAAAUAUCACAUAAUAUUUGAAACCAUCAACUGAAUGUAUUGGAGAUGUCCAAACAUCGAAAAACACUAUAUCAAGAGGCUGAAUAGAUUGUAAAGACGAAUUUUGAAAAGGUAACUUAUGCAUUUUAUUAAUCGAACAUGCAUUGCAAGGCUGAGCCAUUAAAGCAUUGGAAACAAUUGGUAAUUGAAAUUAAGAAACUACUUUUUGAAGAAUUGGAAAUGCAGGGUGUCCUAAACGAGAAUGCCAAGCAGAUAAACUAGUUUGAACUUUAGAAGCAAAUGCUAAUGAGGGUGGUUUUGCCGAAUUUGUUUUCGGCCACUCAUACGUCCCAUCUUUAGGUUUCCCUUCUAGACGUAGAGCUCCCGUUUGCAAAUCCCUCACCUGAAAAUAUGUUGGAGUAAACGUAACAGCUACGCCAUUAGUAGAACAUAAUUGAAACACAGAAAUCAAGUUCUUGUCAAGUGCAGGAACACAUAAGACAUUAUUUAAAAAGAAUGGACGGGUAUAAGAGGGAAGAGAUAAAGAACCAGAGUGUGAGAUGUGCAAACCAGAACCAUCACCAAGAACCCCAUCACCUCCUUCAUAUAGAUUAUGCAUGGAGAGAUUGGCCAAGUCUGAUGUCAUGUGGUGAGAGGCUCCAGAAUCCACCAGCCAAGUCGACGAAUCUGAGAGCAUAGCUGGAUUAGCACUCGGCUGCCAUGUCUGAAAUUGAGUAGCCGCAUUCCAUGCAUUGUUGUUUCGCUGUUGGUGUUGCCUCUGUGGUGUCUGUGAUGGUCCUUUGACAAUUCGAAAGUCAGGACAGUACUUCGCACUAUGACCUUGUAUCCCACAUGCUUGACAACGUUCCAAAUACGGUGUGGAGAAACGUUACUGGUUGUUGAAUUGCUGUGGACGAGCUUGAUUAUGAUUUUAAUUGUUGGUGCUGUUGUUGUGCCAUUGUUGACGGGGACGAGUAUCAGUAGCAUUAGCCACGAUUGGAGUAACCGCCGUGGAGCUGUUGCACAUAAUCAUUGCUUCACGAUUAAGGAGACGUUCAUACAGCUCAGCAUAAGAGAUGGUAGAGUCACGCCCAUGAAUAGCAUCGAUCUCUGGUUUGUAAUCUUCACUAAGACCAGCCAAAAUCUUCUCCGUAAAGUCAUCAGCAUCCAUGGGUUUCCCAAGGAGAGCAAGAUCAUCAAAUUUAGAUUUCAUGUGACGAAGAUAUUCACUAAUCGUCUUUGUACCUUUAACGCCGGUGUCGAUCUGGUGCUUCAGCUGACGAACAUGGCCACGAGACCCAGAUCCAAAGGUAGUAGCCAAUAUGGACCACGCCUCUUUGGUUGUAUUGGCACUGGAGACCACUGACUGAACCGGCAUGGAGAUCGCACCAAUGAGCGAGCUAUAAAGCAAACGAUCUUGACGUUUCCAUGGAACAUACGCAGGAUUGGUUGACGAAACUCUAUUCUGUGUCACCGUCGGUGUCGGAGCAGCUCCGGUGUCCUCAAUGAAAUGUUGUAACUCAUGUCCUUCAAGUAAGGCACGUACUUGUUUACUCCACAUAAGAUAGUUGAGAUUGGUGAGUUUUGUGAUACCCGACAUAUUGAUGGAAAGAAGCGUGCUUUGUGGAUCUUGAGCAUUAAAAACAGAGGUACGAUCUGCUGUGGAUUCAGAAGCCAUGAUGAUAAGAAGAAGAAACACGAAAUAGAGAAGAAAAGUUUGGACGAAGAAGAAAAGAGAACGAAGAAGAAGAAGACAAGAGAAGAGAAGAUGCGGCGGUGAAAAAAAAAUUGUAGGUUCAAAGACCUAAAAGUGCUCUGAUCCAUAUUAGGUUAUGGAAGUCGUGUCUUUGUAUUGAUACAUAGAGCUCUGUUAUAUACCCAGAGUAAGCUGUACAACUAAGGUAAUAUAAUAUACAAUAGUAAUGAAGGCAUAAUCAGAGGGAUUCUAACAUAAACACUAACGUAUACUUUCUAUAAAUACUAUAUUUCCUAUAAAUAUUUCACUUUUUCACACUAAAACAGUAAAAAAAAACAAAAAACAAAGGUUGUGGUUGAAUUCACCUUAAUGUAAGUGACUAAUUUUUUUUGCAUCUGAUUACCGUAGGGAUAUGCAAAUUGAAGAAUAUGCAAGAGCUCGAUCUCAGUCGCAACAAACUUGUAGGUCAGUUUCCCUUAUGUUUAACUAGCUUGACUGGACUUCGAGUUCUUGAUCUCUCAUCAAACCAGUUGACUGGGGAGAUCCCAUCUGCUCUCGGUAACUUUGAAUCCCUUGAGUAUUUAUCAUUGUUAGAUAACGACUUUGAAGGCUUCUUCUCAUUUGGUUGGCUCGUCAAACUCUCAGAGCUUAAAGUGUUGAAACUUGGCUCAAAAUCCAACUCGUUUCAAGUAGAUUCUAAGAGUUCUUGGAAACCAAAAUUUCGGUUGAAUGCUAUUGUACUACGAUCUUGCAACUUGGAAAUAGUUCCUCGUUUUCUCCUACAGCAGAAAGGUUUGCGUCUUGUUGAUCUCUCACACAAUAAAAUUUCUGGAAACUUUCCUUGUUGGCUAUUGGCGAACAAUACAGAGCUCAGAGUUUUGCUUCUGCAGAAUAAUAUUCUUACGAGCUUUCAGCUACCGGAAUCUGCUCAUGAUCUACGUUCCCUUGACGUGUCAGUCAAUGAAUUCAAUCAUAUGUUUCCUGAGAACAUUGGGUUGAUACUUCCACAUUUACGGUAUAUGAAUAUAUCGAAGAACGCCUUUCAAGGAAAUCUGCCAUCUUCUCUGGGUAACAUGAUUGGGAUUGAAACUCUGGAUGUAUCUCACAACAGUUUCCAGGGAAAGCUACCAAGAAGCUUAGUAAAGGGUUGUUAUAACUUGGCUUACUUGAAGUUGUCACAUAACAAACUAAGUGGAGAGGUUUUUCCAGAAUCAGCAGAGUUAUAUGAUUUACGUUGGCUGUAUAUGGAUAACAAUCAGUUUACAGGAAAUAUUGGACAAGGUUUGCAGAACUUGACAUUUUUGCAUAUCCUUGAUAUAUCGAAUAACAAUCUCACGGGUGUUAUUCCAAGCUGGGUUGGCGAACUUCCAAGGUUAUAUGCAAUACUGCUUUCAAACAACUCGUUGGAAGGUGAAAUACCUACGUCGUUGUUCAACAAAACUUUUCUUCUGCUAUUGGACCUCUCUGCAAACAGUUUAUCUGGGGGAUUACCUCCACACGUCGAUUCUACAAGGCCGGUAAUAUUGCUCCUGCAAGACAAUCAUCUAUCAGGAGAUAUUCCAGACACAUUUCUAGGACAUGUCAGCAUACUUGAUCUGAGAAACAACAGAUUGUCUGGGAAUAUACCGGAGUUCAUCAACACCCAAAGCAUCAGUGUUCUUCUUCUCCGAGGGAAUAAUUUAACAGGACGCAUUCCUCGCCAGUUGUGUGGCCUAAGAAACAUCCAACUUCUGGAUCUUGCCAACAACAGAUUGAAUGGAUCCAUACCUUCAUGUCUCAGCAAUACAUCAUUUGCUUUGGGGAAAGAGGAUGAUGGAUUCGAUGGUUAUGGUUUCAUUUAUGGUACAAUUAGUGAUUAUUAUGAUGAUGUCGAUAUAUAUUUCAAACCUCUUCUUGAGCUAGCUCCGCUUUCUUCGCAAAUCGUGGUAGCCACCCAGACGAAAGUUGAAUUUGCAACAAAACAUCGAUACGAUGCCUACAUGACGCGUGGAAUUCUCAAAUAUCUGUUUGGGCUAGAUCUCUCUGAAAAUGAGCUAAGCGGUGAGAUUCCAAUAGAGCUUGGAGGUCUUCUGGAGAUACAAGCUCUCAAUCUUUCUCACAACAACUUAUCAGGAGUGAUACCAGAAAGCUUUUCAGGUCUGAACAAUGUGGAAAGUCUUGAUCUUUCCUUCAACAGAUUACAAGGCCGGAUCCCAUCAAGACUAGCAGAUCUGAGCAGCCUAGCUGUGUUCAAUGUCUCUUACAACAACUUAUCAGGAGCCAUUCCACAGGGGAGACAGUUCAACACUUUUGAUUCGCCAAGCUACUUAGGUAAUCCUCUUCUCUGUGGGAAACCAACCAGCAGAAGCUGCGACGGUAACACCAUUCAAGCACCAGAUAAUGUAGCGAGAGAUGAAGAAAGCACAAUCGACAUGGUUUCUUUCUACUGGAGUUUUGCAGCAGCCUACGUUACAAUACUUCUUGGAGUACUUGCAUCUCUCUCUUUUGAUUCUCCUUGGAGUAGGUUUUGGUUCUACAAGGUUGAUGUUUUCAUCCACAAGGCGAGGAAUUUGUUGUGGUAAACCAUUAUUGGUGACAAAUUCUUAUAUUGUCCCCAUCUGUUUCUAUUCUUCACAAGACCUCCUGCUUUGUGUAGCCAACCAGAACAUUACUUGUGUUUGGUUCCUAUGUACUGUCUUUGUCAUUGUCUAUGAAUAAAUGGAUUGUCUCAAACAUUUCUUUGUUCCUGAGUAGCUUAGUGGUUGGUUUACUAAAAAAUCCCCAGAAAUCAGGAACUUGCAGAGAACAAUUUUAAGGUAGAAAAAGAGUGCAGACCCAAGAAUGAAAUAAAUACAGAGAAUUUUCCAUUAUACCGCUUUACUCAUUUUAUUUCAGGUAACCGUCUCAAGAAUUUUCCAUUAUACCGCUUUACUAAUUCAUUAUCCUGUUGUAGAAUACAAAUGAGUAAAAUGAGCAUAUGAAUCAGCAGAGAAAUAGAAAGACCAGAGAGAAACAUAGAACGUAGCUAAAGAAUUAGAGAAAGAAAAGCAACCACUCGUAUAUAAUUUAGUCACUGUUCAACAGACGUAGCUAGUUGUCAGCUAAUAGAGUUCUUCGCCUUCCUGAUUGCCAGCAGACGACCAGUUAUUCACCGGCUCGUUGUAGAGAAGCUUCUGCAUAUCCAAUACCAAUCCUGAGAUUUCUUCACUGAAUCUAGGAGAAAACCUUAUUGAACGGUUCAGAUACUUUUCUCCCUCAAGGAUCUCGAGAAUGGACCUUUGUAAUGAUCAGAAAGCUUGCCUGAUCUAAGAUCAACAUUAGAAUUCUGCAUCACACGCUCUCACUAUCUACUGAAAGACUAUGAACCUCUUUCCGCUUUUGCCUAGAUUUCAGCGAGAAACAGAGUAUCGAGGUGCAUCUUUGGUUAGAACUCUAAAGGACUCAUUAAAAUCAACAGGAGCAGGUUGAUACUAACCAUAAGGCCUCAGAGAUCCUCUCUUCUGCUGCGUCUAACUACUUUCUCUCUUGGCAUAGGAGUCUUAAUUGAAAGCCCUCUAGCUCAUCAUAGCAUCGCUUGCAGCUGUAGGAGAAUUUUUUUUAAAAAUGCUAUCAGUCAUAGAUGAGGUCAACGCCCAUUCUCUUCGCUAAUUGCAAUUUCCAUUAACUGCAACAAACACAUACAAAGAACACCCAGUAACGAAUCGAGAGAAACACUGAAGAAGAAACUGCAAGUAAAACUUAAAUUAAUCACAUUUGGAUGAAAAUCCACGACACAGCUCAGACUAAGUAAGUAAUGAUAGCCAUAUCGAGAAUAUUUGGAUUUGGGUCUUGAAUCUGUUUUUUCCUUGUAUCUUCUCCUCGUCGAUGGGCUCUUGUCCCUUGCUAGUGGAAUAUCUACCCAACUUUUAUUUCGAGUCAAGAAAAUAUUUAUUUACCAAGCAACCCCUCAGCGAAAACUUGCAAAUAAAACCUUUCUCAACACACUAACACAUGAAAGAAAAGAAAAAAACAAAAACUCCAAAAAAAGGCGAUAUGAAACAGUAAAACCUGAGUAAUCGAUAGAUCCGAUCCAGAAGCUAACCUAGAGCUCGGGGAACAGUAAACCUAAGCCUAGAAGAAGACCACGGAGGAAGAAGGGUCUUCUCGGAGGUCAAAGAUCAAUGGUGGAUUGAAGAUUUAGAUGAUGACAGAGUUUAGAGGAAGAAGAUGAUUUUGAUAUUCUGAUUGAUUCUCAUAUUUGGCCAAAGAGCCUUACAUAUAGUGAUUAAAGUUUUAUGAACCGGAAUUACAAACCGUAAUUAAUAUAACUACUAAACCAAGAUAAACCAGAGGAUAUGGAAUAAUCCUGUAACAAUACUCCCUCGUCGACAACAUCCUUGUCCUCAAGGAUGACAAGUUGGAAGCUCCUUGAUGAUUUUGAUGGAACGUCAAUGCAACUUGGUCUGGAGGAUGCACUUUCCAAUGGACAAAGACCGUGAUGAAUGCUUUGUUGUGGUGGUUAACCUUCUUCUUGGCACUGUUUUCAACAAACGGGGAUUGUAGCAGAAGUAUAGCAGUAGUGGUGGAGGUCGGAUAGAAGAAAUAGCAUUUCUCAGUUGUUACCUCUAGCUUCGGGACUAAUCCACUAAGCCACUCAAAACCAUGCUUGAUCCUCAUAAUGUAAAGCAUAGCAACACAGAGCAUAUAACUGAAAAUGUGUGCAUUAUCCAACGUCAUUUUACCAGAGAUCAAUAAGUCCUCAAAAUUGUCGGCUUCUGUCUUGAAAUGAAGGUAUAAUUGCAGAACCGUAACAGAGAUUAUAGAGGCAGGAAAGCCAUCGAUAGAAUGAGCAAUGUAGAGUGUUCCAGAAUGUGUAUGACCAGAUUCACAAUCACAAUUUAUGGCUCGGUUCCAUAUAUCAAUCAACCAAGUGAAGUAGUCCAGACCUGAAGAACUUGGGGGUUCAGUACUAAACUGCUUCAAAUCGUUGUAGUGUGUCCAAAAUUCAGGAUGCAGCAGCUUGUGGUUCUUGAGGAAUAAGAGCUUGGGGUCCUUCUCGAGCUUACCCAACCUCUGAAAGCUCUUCUUUAUUGUCUUGAAAUCUGGAGGUCGUGGCAGUGAACCAUAGAGUAACUUAAGUGAUGUGCUGUAGAAACCAACAGCUUUAAGCCUCAUGAAAUCGCCAUCUCCAUAGUCACUGACCAGAUAAGAGAGCUGGUGUGUGUUUUCAUCUAGACUCACGAACUCUUCUUCACCUCUACGGUCAACUUGAUUAAUCUCAAGUUCACAAAUAUAUCCAUCAGCUGUACCAACCUCACGUUCUUUUGUUACCAAAACUAAUAUGACCUUACCAUCCUUUAAGAAAUCGUUCUUUCUCUUCUUAGCAUCAGCUUCAACGCUCUUCAAAACAGUGGCGUGUAAGCCAUCAAAUAGAUGAAAUGUAGGAAUUAACCAGCAACAUUCCAGCAACACCACCAUUUUAAACUUAGAUCUCCAUUUGUGCUUCAAAUGGAACUUCAUACGAGCAAAAGUAAGCUGUCUCAAGCCUACAACUAGCAGUGUUCUGUUUCUUAGCAAAUCAGGCACGUUAAAAACUUCAUCAUGACCAGCGUGACCCUUAGCUUCAGAUAUAAGCCCAACAAGUAUUCUCAAUACACCAUUCCUUCUGCGAGACUGAAACUCGAACGGUUCCAGUAACACACGUUCUGAUCCCUUUUUAUUUCCGGCUUCAAUGUUCAUCAGCGCAUGCUUUCCUUUAUCAUAAACCAACCGUGACUGCAUCUUUUCACUUGCAACUAAAGGCUCCUCACCAGGUGUUUUUCCUCCAACGAUAUCAACAUACAUCGAUUCCAGCGGUAAAUAAGCUUUGUAGUACGAGUAUAUUGAGCCAAACUUCUCCAAUAAGACUUUGUUAUUCUCGCCUAUUCCAUCUAGAAGCAACUGGUUAUCUUCGUCCAAAGGCAGAGAUAUGACCUUUGAGGAAGUUACAAGAAUUACAACUCCAUGUUUCAACAAAAGAGUGGUUCCAUCUGUCGAUUUAUGUGCCUCUGAGUUGCCUUUGAACUUGUAUUUCCAAGUCUUUGACCACUUCUGCUUCCUCUUUCUAGUUCUCAGCAAAACUUUAAGCAUCUGAUCUGCGCAAUCCAACUUUGUAACAACAGAAAACUUCUGAGGCAUCUCAACCUCUCUUGGAACAUAACCAAUUUGUUCCACCACAGCACUCACGUAAUCGACAACCUCUUGGGUUUCUAUGUCCAUAAUCGAUGAUUCUGGAGUUAACUCAGUCACUUUACCAUAGCCCCACAAUAUACUAGACAGCCUGUGCAUUAACCUCAUCGAUUUACCAUCUUUGUAACAUUUUUCUAACCCUUUCCACUUAUCAUGUUCAGUCGCUAUUCCACCAGGUUCCCACAUUCUAUUAUUCCAAGAUGAAACGAGUUUCAUCACCUUGUUUUGCUCAUGUUCAUCCUCUUUUUCGUCUUCUUCAUAAAGAGGCUUGAGCUCCUCUAGAUCCCAAUUCACCACUUGCAUCUGAGGAUAUAGAGACGUUUCAAACUGAUGUGAUUCUUGGUGUGACUUCGAUUCUUUCUCUGGCCAGUCCCAAAAAUCCAGAGUAGCCGGUAAACCACCUGGCUCCCAUACAUGACCAGUCUUAUGUGAGAACAAGAGCUUAUCAUUUGAUGAACUGAUCAGCAUUGUUGAAUCCUCCUGAUACUUCUCUGAUAAGGAGAGAUCAACGUGAGAUCUAAAUUUGGCAGAAAUCGCUUGAGAGUGCUUGCCCUCCAAGUGUUCGGCGUUUUGCCCGAGAGGUGGAUUCCUCUUUUCUUCAGCUACAGUUUUUGGAUGAUCGUCUUCCCGAUUCAACUCAACAGAAUCCUGCAAAACUGGGACAAACCCCAACGAUUUCAUAGAUGAAUCUGUCUCAACAUGUGGUUCGACGAACUCAUUAUCAGCAGAAAGUUGAUCAUCUUCACAGUCUACCAUGAAAAUCUUUGAUUUUCUGUGCUUUGACUGAAAGUGACCACGGGUAUCAAGCUCAUCACAAAACAAACACAACCCAUUUUCCAUUCUCGCAUACACCUGCUCACAUGAAUACGUCCGAUGAGUCUUGUUCGUGGUGAUCGUGCCCGCCAUUGUUUGUUUUUUUUUUUUUUUUUUUUAUUAGUUGCGUCCGAAGCUCGUUGGCUCUGAUACCAAUGAAACAGUAAAACCUGAGUAACCGAUAGAUCCGAUCCAGAAGCUCACCUAGAGCUCGGGGAACGGUAAACCUAAGCCUAGAAGAAGACCACGGAGGAAGAAGGGUCUUCUCGGAGGUCAAAGAUCAAUGGUGGAUUGAAGAUUUAGAUGAUGACAGAGUUUAGAGGAAGAAGAUGAUUUUGAUAUUCUGAUUGAUUCUCAUAUUUGGCCAAAGAGCCUUACAUAUAGUGAUUAAAGUUUUAUGAACCGGAAUUACAAACUGUAAUUAAUAUAACUACUAAACCAAGAUAAACCAGAGGAUAUGGAAUAAUCCUGUAACACGAUACGAAUUAAUAUCUGUUCCACAAGGCAUAUUCUCUUACAGUAAAAGUCGAGACGGCUCUUACUCUUGGCUAUCCACCGCCGUAUAUCGGGCGGCGACGAUGGCAGCGUCUGCAUUGGUAUAGCGUUUGGCGUCUGGCGAUUGGCGAUUGGCGAUUGGCGAUUGGCGUAUGGCGAUAGGCGAAGGAAAAUUAAGGGGUUUUCGCUGACUCGCUAAAUGAUGUGAAACGACGGCGUUUCUAUUUUGGGGGUAACGGCCCCCUUCUUUCUGACGUGGCCGGCUUAGAGAGGCACAUCAGCAACUCAGUUACCGUUGGAGUGUUUUAGGUCCUUUCUUUGGCAGAGUUUAAAGGUUAGGCCUUUUUAUUUUAAUAUUAAAAUCGCAUCAUUCUUUUACGGAAGAUCAAUUAUUUAGCUGAAUAAUUCAACGGACUUACAUUGCUAAACAGAUCAACAUGUACAAGGAAUAUAUAUAUAACUAGGACUAAGUAAAAGAUUUGCGACCAAAGUGGAAAUUGUCUUUACUACUGAUACAAGAAUUAGUAUUUUUUACUCUUUUUUAUUCUUUAGUUUAUUUCUUGUAAUAUAUAGUUUUACGUGUGAGGACUGAGACCCUGUAUAGUAUUUAUCUAUCUAUUAAAACGGUUGAAAUAUAUCAUGUCAUCUUUUGUUUUUUUACUCAUGUUCCCCUUCACAUUGCACUUAAAUAAUAGAAACCAGCUAUCGCAGACUCUAAAUUACAUUCUUGAGUAUUAGGCACUUUGUCGUGGCUAAGGCAUACAAUAUUUCUUCGUUAGUUGUGCGUAAAGCUUCGUUGAAGUUGAUAAUGCUCAGCACGCCACAAGUAUGUCAUGUGAUAUGAGUAUUUUUCCACAGAUUGACUUUGUAAAUAUAUUUUCUUAUUCAACUUAGUUUUUCAAUUCCUUUUUGUCAAACAGCAUUUUUAGUGCUUCUAAACAUGGAUAUAUUUGGGUAACAAUCUAAUUUUUAAGUUUCUAGUUGUUUUAUUUUUGGCUCAAACCAAUGGAAGAGAAGGUGUUCUUGGGUAAAAACCUGAUUUGGGUGAUAUUAUUGUUGGGACAGCUACAUGGAUGUAAAAGCUGUAUUCAGAUAGAAAGGAAAGCUUUGUUCGAGCUCAAGAAAUACAUAAUUUCUUGGAGUAUAGAAGAGGAAUCCAACUCUGUUCUUCCUACUUGGACUAACGACACAAAGAGUCAUUGCUACCGUUGGAAGGGUGUUGAGUGCAAACGUACAAGCGGACGGGUUAUCGGGAUUUCCAUUGGUGAGAUGAUCUUUGAAGAGAGUUGUCUCCUAAAUCUUUCUUUGCUGCAUCCCUUUGAAGAGAUUCGAAGUUUGAACUUAUCCGGGGAAACGUUCAACUCUUUCAAUGGCUUCUUUGAUGAUGUUGAAGGUAUACCAGGCUCUUUCACAGUGCUCAGUUUACCCUUUUUGGUCUCUAUUUGAAAGCAUAUAUAUCUUAUUUCUUUGUUCUAGUUCUUGAAAGUUAGUACUGUUUAAAACUAUGGUACUUAUAUUUUCGGCUGCAUCAAAAGGCUACCUUGCAUUUAGAGUAGACGAAAAAAUACUAUUGAAGUGAUUAGAAUCAGCAAUCUUUUUUUUGUACACUUUGUUAACAAGAUUCUCGUUUGUAGGCUAUAAAAGCUUUAGGAAAUUAGGAAACCUGGAGAUUCUGGAUCUCUCUCAAAAUGCAUUCAACAUCAGCAUAUUUUCUUUCCUUAAUGCUGCUACAUCACUUACAACUCUUUUUCUUCGGCAAAACCAUUUGGAUGGCCCUUUCCCUGCUAAAGGUCUGUUUUCCACUUUGUAACAAGGUGUUUGCCUAGCAAACCCUAAUUAUUGAUGAUGUAUCUUUGGUUAGGACGUUUGAUUUUUGUAUUGCAGUCUGUAUAAUUUUAUAUGUCCUAGCAAUUCUUAUCAUUCUCAUGUAUUCUCAUGGACUCCCUUUCAGAACUAAAAAACUUGACAAACUUGGAACUGCUGGAUCUGAGUGGAAACCGGUAUAACGGCUCCAUGCCAGGUAGCAUCUAUGUCAAUUGUCACUGUUUUUUUCUUCAGAGUAGAACUUUAACAAAUUUAACUAGAAACUUCAUUGACUCUUUACCUCUUGAGUAUUGCCUAUCCAGCACAACCUACUUCUUGAUGAUGUAUAUAUUGUUUGACUUUUGUAUUGCAGUCUCUGUGAUUUUCCAUGUAUUAAUUGCAGUUCUUAUGCAGAAAAUUAAUUAUCAUCAUUUCCAUAUAUAUAUUGUUUGACUUUUGUAUUGCAGUCUCUGUGAUUUUUUUUUUCCCCAGAAUUUCAUUCAUUCUUAUGCAGAAAAUUAAUUAUCAACUGAAUUACUCAACGAGCUUUACGUUGCUAAAAAGAUUAACAUACAAGGAAUAUUUACGUAACUAAGGCUAAGUAAUAGUUUAAUCCGUCUUCUUAUCUUUAGUUUAAUUCUAUUCUCCUAAAUAUAGUUUUGUUUGUCAAGAAUCCCAAAGGUUGGAGGAUUGACCCUGCCUAACAUUCAUCUCUCUCGCUUGAGCUUAAAAACUUGACAAGCUUGGAACUGUUGGACCUGAUUAAAAACGAAUUUAAUGGCUCCAUACCAGUACAGAGUAGUGUCAACGUUAUUGUGACUGUCUAUAGAUUCUUACUAUAGAUGCAGUCUUUAUGGUAUCUUUCCCCAAGAGUUUUGCUAUAGCUUAUGUGACACCAUAGUGCUGAGAAUACUCAUUCUCCUUGGAGCAGAGCUUUUAUCCAGAAGACGAAAACUUUCUUAUCCCAAAUUACAGUGGUGAAGAGUGUAAACUGGUCUCUUGAGAGUAUAUAAUCAUUUGUUGUAACAAUUCCGUUCUGAUAUACUUGUAAUUUGUUCUUCAGCUUGGCGAUCUAUGUGGCUAAAUAUGAAACCCAGAAGAUACGCUAGCUUGUCCUCUGUUAGAAGCUUAUAAGCUUGCAAAAUGAUUUAUAAAUUAUAUACAGUAUAUAGUUUGGCUACCUACUUUAUAAACCCUUGAAUUAUUACGUGGUAUAUAAGCUUGAGGGAAAAAAAUUGCUUUUAAACUUGGCUUUAAACAAGCUACCAAUUUGUGAAAAAAACACGUUUACUAUGUAACAAAACCUUACCAACCGUAUCUCGUAGAACCCAUGCAACUCCUCCCUACUUCUUCUGUUUGGAGAAGGAGAAUCCGAUGUUGCAUUUUAACCAGUUCAUUGGAGAAAAUGUACCUUUUUCUUAUGGCUUUGCUUCUCGUUUAAUUUAGGCGUUUUGGGUUAUUGUAAGAUUCUAUAACAUUCGAUAAAAAUCUAGAUGACCAAAAAAAAAAAAAAAACUUGAGGGAAAAAAUAUAUAUUCCAAUAUUUCCAUAUUAUCAUCCUUUCACUCUAUUGCUAAGCAAUUUCCUGUGACUUAAAAGCAUUUUGGUCGAAGUAAAAGAUGCUGACCGCACAAUUUCUACGGAGACCUUGACUUAAAAAUGCCACACGAAUCUCUAAGCUUAUCAUACGAUUCAAAGUAAACGAUAGACGACAGUGAUCACUCAUGCUCCGACUGGGACCUGAAUUGACUUUGUAAGUGUGCAAUUAUUUCCUUGAAUUUGGUGUAUUCCUCUGGAAAUUUAAAGAAUCCUUGUAAAUUUGGACAAGUCAUUUUGGAUUAUCUUUCAUUUGCUUUUAUUUUUCGUUUUAUUUGCAAUGGAAGGGAAGGUGUUCUGGGGAAAAUACUUGAUAUGUGUGAUGUUACUGUUGGGGCAGCUACAUGGAUACCAAAGCUGUGUUGAGAAAGAAAGGAAUGCUUUGCUGCAGCUCAAGAAAUACUUAGUCUCAAUUACUCGAGAAGUUUUUGUAGACGAUGUUCUCCCUACUUGGACUAAUGACACAAAGAGCAAUUGCUGCGGGUGGGAUGGCCUUAGGUGCAAUCUUACAAGCGGACGGGUGACCGAGAUUGCCUUUGACUUGAACUCCAAAGACAAUUCUCUCUUUAAUCUUUCGUUGCUACAUCCUUUUGAAGAUGUUCGAAGUCUGAACUUCUCCGGGUCCUUUCUCAGGGGCUUGUUUGAUGACGUUGAAGGUAUACCAGGCUUUCCCUAGUAGUUAGCUUUUAAUAUUCUGUUUUUCAUUGGAACUUUCAUGUUUUCUCUCCUUUAGGGAUCUACUUCUCUGAAGAACCUAUAUGGACUAGAUCUUUGCUCAUUGUUUCUAAUUCUUGAAAGUUAAUUAUAUAUUGUUUCUCGUUGCAGGUUAUAAAAGCUUGAGGAGAUUAAGAAACCUGGAGAUUCUGGAUCUCUCCUGGAAUAAUUUCAACAACAGCAUCUUUCCCUUACUUAACGCUGCUACAUCACUCACAACUCUGUUUCUUAGGGGCAACAACAUGGUUGACCCUUUUCCUGUUAAAGGUAUGUUUUACCAUUUGUAUAUAUAUAGCAUGUCCUAAUUCUUUUAGGGACGAUGUAUCAUUCUUAUAUUUGUUGGACUCCAUUUCAGAACUCAAAGAUUUGACAAACUUGGAACUGCUGGACCUGAGUGAAAACAGUUAUAACGGCUCCAUACCAGUACGAGGUAGUUCAUAAAUGCUUGCCUUUCUUUUCAAGGGCUAUGCUUUCUUACAACAUUUGUUGGAUUGGUUUGCCUCGUCCUUGAGAUGAACAUAUCCAUAAUUUGUUAUCUUUGUCUGUGGCAGAGAUAACUUCGCUCAGGAAGCUGAAAGCUCUGGAUCUAAGUGAUAAUGAAUUUUCGGGUUCAAUGGAUUUGCAAGGCAAGUUUGCUCAUAUACAAUUUCACUUUUUCAUAUUAAAACAAGAAACAAAAACAAAAAACAAAGGUGAAUUCACGAUAAUCAAAGUGACUAAACUUUUUGCAUCUGAUUACCGUAGGGAUAUGCAAAUUGAAGAAUAUGCAAGAGCUCGAUCUCAGUCACAACAAACUUGUAGGUCAGUUUCCCUUAUGUUUAACUAGCUUGACUGGACUUCGAGUUCUUGAUCUCUCAUCAAACCAGUUGACUGGGGAGAUCCCAUCUGCUCUCGGUAACCUUGAAUCCCUUGAGUACUUGUCGUUGUUAGAUAACGACUUCGAUGGCUUCUUCUUACUUGAUUGGCUCGCCAAACUCUCAGAGCUUAAAGUGUUGAAACUUGGCUCAAAAUCCAACUCUUUUCAAGUAGAUUCUAAGAGUUCUUGGAAACCAAAAUUUCGGUUGAAUGCUAUUGUCCUACGAUCUUGCAACUUGGAAAUAGUUCCUCGUUUUCUCCUACAGCAGAAAGGUUUGAAUUAUGUUGAUCUCUCCGACAAUAAAAUUUCUGAAAACUUUCCUUUUUGGCUAUUGGCGAACAAUACAGAGCUCGAAGUUUUGCUUCUGAAGAAUAAUAUUCUUACGAGCUUUCAGCUACCGGAAUCUGCUCAUGAUCUACGUUCCCUUGACGUGUCAGUCAAUGAAUUCAAUCAUAUGUUUCCUGAGAACAUUGGGUUGAUACUUCCACAUUUACGGUAUAUGAAUAUAUCGAAGAACGGCUUUCAAGGAAAUCUGCCAUCUUCUCUGGGUAACAUGAGUAGGAUUGACACUCUGGAUGUAUCUCACAACAGUUUCCAGGGAAAGCUACCAAGAAGCUUAGUAAAGGGUUGUUAUAACUUGGCUUACUUGAAGUUGUCACAUAACAAACUAAGUGGAGAGGUUUUUCCAGAAUCAGCAGAGUUAUAUGAUUUACGUUGGCUGUAUAUGGAUAACAAUCAGUUUACAGGAAAUAUUGGACAAGGUUUGCAGAACUUGACAUUUUUGCAUAUCCUUGAUAUAUCGAAUAACAAUCUCACGGGUGUUAUUCCAAGCUGGGUUGGCGAACUUCCAAGGUUAUAUGCAAUACUGCUUUCAAACAACUCGUUGGAAGGUGAAAUACCUACGUCGUUGUUCAACAAAACUUUUCUUCUGCUAUUGGACCUCUCUGCAAACAGUUUAUCUGGGGGAUUACCUCCACACGUCGAUUCUACAUUGCCGGUAAUAUUGCUCCUGCAAGACAAUCAUCUAUCAGGAGAUAUUCCAGACACAUUGCUGGCAAAUGUCAGCAUACUUGAUCUGAGAAACAACAGAUUGUCUGGGAAUAUACCGGAGUUCAUCAACACCCAAAGCAUCAGUGUUCUUCUUCUCCGAGGGAAUAAUUUAACAGGUCAUGUUCCUCGUCAGUUGUGUGGCCUAAGAAACAUCCAACUUCUGGAUCUUGCCAACAACAGAUUGAAUGGAUCCAUACCUUCAUGUCUCAGCAAUACAUCAUUUGGUUUGGGGAAAGAGGAUAAUGCAUUUCACGUUUCUAAUCUCGAUCUAGGUAUAGAGCGUGUUUAUGAUGAUCCCGAUAGAUAUUUCAAACCUCUUCUUAUUGAGCUAGAUCCG